RNAcentral lists this ribosomal RNA (282 nucleotides) under unidentified marine bacterioplankton. RNAcentral's name for it is "partial 16S ribosomal RNA". It matches the Rfam family "Bacterial small subunit ribosomal RNA", at positions 62 to 339 of the family's 1533-position model. The record is from RNAcentral. RNAcentral also lists the same sequence under 1 other name.
UCGAACGGUAACAGGAAAUAGCUUGCUAUUUUGCUGACGAGUGGCGCACGGGUGCGUAACGCGUAUACAAUCUACCUUUUGCUGAGGGAUAGCCCAGAGAAAUUUGGAUUAAUACCUCAUGGUAUUAUUGGUAGGCAUCUAUUAAUAAUUAAAGGUUACGGCAAAAGAUGAGUAUGCGUCCCAUUAGCUAGUUGGUGAAGUAACGGUUCACCAAGGCAACGAUGGGUAGGGGUCCUGAGAGGGAGAUCCCCCACACUGGUACUGAGACACGGACCAGACUCC